GAGAUAUUAGUAAAAUUAUUACAUAACUUUGUCAAGGUUAAAUUAUAGAAUCAACUCUAUAUAUCUUA
This 68-nucleotide transfer RNA is filed under the name Desmomys harringtoni (Harrington's rat). Its description in RNAcentral is "tRNA-Asp". Lineage: Eukaryota; Metazoa; Chordata; Mammalia; Rodentia; Muridae. The record is from RNAcentral.